UGUGAAGUGUGGGGUGGGGCAUUGUGUGCCACAUGCCUGGGCUCCCACCUGGGCCAGUGGGCUUCAGUCUGUAGGUGACUACGGAAGGAGGAGGAGCUCCGUCUGUUCUCUCUUCAGGCAGUUGUUGUGUCUCUCAGCGCUUGUUGGGUUCACAACCUAUUAAAUAAGCCAGCUGGUCUUCACCCUCCCAGACAAGUCAACUCAGGGGAGGCGGCAGGGUGUGGGCCUUGGCCCGCAGCCCUAGCCGGGGCCGGGGCCAGGGCUGGUGCCCGGGGCCGCGCUGUGAGGUGGGCAGGCGAGGAGCGGGAAGACCAUCUCUGCAAGUGCAGCAUAGCCUCGGCCUAGGACAGCGGGAGUGCGUGGCCAAAGCUGUGAGCAGAGGCACAGGUGGUGGCAGACAGUAGAGGCACCCCAUGGGGAACCUACUGACCUGUUGUGUGCGCCCUAGCGUCAGCCUCGAGUUUGACCAGCAACAGGGUCGGUGUGUCCCUCUGAAUCUGAGAUCUAUGAGGCAGGAGCUGGGGACAGGAUGGCAGGAGCACCCAUGGCUGCUGCUGUACAGCCUGCUGAGGUGACUGUUGAAGUUGGUGAGGACCUCCACAUGCACCACAUUCGUGACCGGGAGAUGCCUGAAGCUUUGGAGUUUAACCUUUCUGCCAAUCCAGAGGCAAGCACAAUAUUCCAGAGGAACUCUCAAACAGAUGCUUUGGAGUUUAACCCUUCUGCCAAUCCAGAGGCAAGCACAAUAUUCCAGAGGAACUCUCAAACAGAUGUUGUAGAAAUAAGAAGAAGCAACUAUACUAACCAUGUAUCUACUGAGCGUUUCAGUCAACAAUACAGCUCGUGUUCGACAAUAUUCCUUGAUGACAGCACAGCCAGCCAGCAUUAUCUUAUAAUGACAAUAAUAUCAGAUGCAGAUAGAUCUUUGACCAUACUUGAUGAACAGUUAUACUCAUUUGCGUUUUCCACCGUGCACAUUAUGAAGAAAAGAAAUGGAGGUGGGAGUUUAAAUAACUAUUCCUCCUCCAUUCCAUCGACUCCCAGCACCAGCCAGGAGGACCUUUAUUUCAGUGUUCCUCCCACUGCCAACACACCCACGCCCAUUUGCAAGCAGUCCAUGGGCUGGUCCAACUUGUUUACAUCUGAGAAAGGGAGUGACCCAGACAAAGAGAGGAAAGCCCUGGAGAGUCACGCUGACACCAUCGGGAGCAGCACAGCCAUCCCCAUUAAACAGGGCAUGCUCUUAAAGCGAAGUGGGAAAUGGCUGAAGACAUGGAAAAAGAAAUAUGUCACCCUGUGUUCCAAUGGCGUGCUCACCUAUUAUUCAAGCUUAGGUGAUUAUAUGAAGAAUAUUCAUAAAAAAGAGAUUGACCUUCAGACAUCUACCAUCAAAGUCCCAGGAAAGUGGCCAUCCCUAGCCACAUCGGCCUGCGCACCCAUCUCCAGCUCUAAAAGCAAUGGCCUAUCCAAGGACAUGGACACCGGGCUGGGUGACUCCAUAUGCUUCAGCCCCAGUAUCUCCAGCACCACCAGCCCCAAGCUCAACCCGCCCCCCUCUCCUCAUGCCAAUAAAAAGAAACACCUAAAGAAGAAAAGCACCAACAACUUUAUGAUUGUGUCUGCCACUGGCCAAACGUGGCACUUUGAAGCCACGACGUAUGAGGAGCGGGAUGCCUGGGUCCAAGCCAUCCAGAGCCAGAUCCUGACCAGCCUGCAGUCAUGCAAGAGCAGUAAAAGCAAGUCCCAGCUGACCAGCCAGAGUGAGGCCAUGGCCCUGCAGUCGAUCCAAAACAUGCGUGGGAACUCCCACUGUGUGGACUGUGAGACCCAGAAUCCUAAGUGGGCCAGUUUGAACUUGGGAGUCCUCAUGUGUAUUGAAUGCUCAGGAAUCCACCGCAGUCUUGGCACCCGCCUUUCCCGUGUGCGAUCUCUGGAGCUGGAUGACUGGCCAGUUGAGCUCAGGAAGGUUAUGUCAUCUAUUGGCAAUGACCUAGCCAACAGCAUCUGGGAAGGGAGCAGCCAGGGGCAGACGAAACCCUCAAUAGAGUCGACGAGGGAAGAGAAGGAACGGUGGAUCCGUUCCAAAUAUGAGCAUAAGCUCUUUCUGGCCCCACUACCCUGCACUGAGCUGUCCCUGGGCCAGCACCUGCUGCAGGCCACCGCUGAUGAGGACCUGCGGACAGCCAUCCUGCUGCUGGCACAUGGCUCCCGUGAGGAGGUGAACGAGACCUGUGGGGAGGGAGACGGCUGCAUGGCGCUCCAUCUGGCCUGCCGCAAGGGGAAUGUGGUCCUGGCGCAGCUCCUGAUCUGGUACGGGGUGGACGUCAUGGCCCGAGAUGCCCACGGGAACACAGCGCUGACCUACGCCCGGCAGGCCUCCAGCCAGGAGUGCAUCAACGUGCUUCUGCAGUACGGCUGCCCCAACGAGUGCGUGUAGUAUCUGUUUUAUUUGACUGCAGUCUCCUUGGUGCAAAAACAAAAUGGGAAAAAUAAGGAUAACUCAGAAUUUCAAAAGGAAAUCACAAAUUCAGCUAAUAAUAGCAUUUUCAGUACUUUUCGUAAACUAAGUAAAUACACAAAAUGUUGAUUUUUCUGACCAUAAGACAUAUUUUAUGUCCUUUUGCCGAGGUGGGUGUGUUAGUCUCAGGCCCUCCUGGCCACAUUGCCCAAGUCACACAGGCUUCUGUAUUAUGUAUUUAGAUAAGAUGUGUGAAAAUAUAUUUGAAAAAAAGUUCAUAAAUAUGCAUUGAUUUUUGUACAUAUGACACCUCUUUUUCAUUUUUAUUUUUAUUUUUUUUGGACGAUGUUUUGCUCUGUCGCCCCAGCUGGAGUGCAGUGGCGUGAUAUCUGCUCACUGCAAGCUCUGCCUCCCGGAUUCACACCAUUCUCCUGCCUCAGCCUCUCAGGUAGCUGGGACUACAGGUGCCUGCCACCACACCUGGCUAAUUUUUUUGUAUUUUUAGUAGAGACGUGGUUUCACCAUGUUAGCCAGGAUGGUCUCGAACUCCUGACCUCGUGAUCCACCUGCCUCAGCCUCCCAAAGUGCUGGGAUUACAGGCGUGAGCCACCGUGCCCGGCCCAUGGCACCUCUCUUAAUUUAUAAAUUGAACUGGAUGUGAACUAAUAAUGUCAGCUAGUUGAGAUAAGAGCGUUACAGAUCUGGGCGCAGUGGCUCACACCUGUAAUCCUAGCACUUUGGGAGGCCUAGGCGGACUGAUCACCAGGUCAGGAGAUCGAGACCAUCCUGGCUAACAUCAUGAAACCCCAUCUCUACUAAAAAAUACAAAAAAUUAGCUGGGCAUGGCCGGGCGUGGUGGCUCACACCUGUAAUCCCAGCACUUUGGGAGGCCGAGGCAGGCAGAUCACGAGGUCAGGAGAUCAAGACCAUCCUGGCUAACAUGGUGAAACCCCGUCUCUACUAAAAAUGCAAAAAAAAAAAAAAAAAAAAAAUUAGCCAGGUGUGGUGGCAGGCACCUAUAGUCCCAGCUACUCGGGAGGCUGAGGCAGGAGAAUGGCGUGAACCCAGGAGGCGGAGCUUGCAAUGAGCUGAGAUUGCAGCACUGCACUCCAGCCUGGGCGACCAAGCGAGACUCCAUCUCAAAAAAAAAAAAAAAUUAGCUGGGCAUGGUGGCGGGCACCUGUAGUCCCAGCUACUUGGGAGGCUGAGGCAGGAGAAUGGCAUGAACUCAGGAGGCAAAGCUUGCAGUGAGCAGAGAUUGUGCCACUGCACUCCAGCCUGGGCAACAGAGCGAGACUCGGUUUCAAAAAAAAGAAAAGAAAAGGAGGGUUACAGAUCAUUGCACAUGGAAAAUAUUCCCAGCAGUAAACACUUCCAUUAAUGUGAUCUACAGCUUUUAAAAAGGAGCAUCUCAGAAUAAGAUGGUGGUACAAUUUGCUUAUUGAGAAAGGAAAAAAAAACACACAAGUAUAUUACAAAGGGAAAAGAAGGAAUGUGAUUUCUCAUGAUUGAAAGCUUGAUUUAGAUUGCAUACAGCUUUUGCUACCCAAGACCAAGCGGCUCUGGCAAGACAGGGUGGUUUUCCAAAUGCCAGACCGAGGUGCCUUAUGAAGGCAGCUGCCGAUGGUUCCAGAUGUAGAGAGAUAGGUGAUGCAGGAGGGAAAGCUGGAUUGGAAAAGGGAGAGUUUUGUAGACGGGCUACGCUCAUUGUGGCUUUGAAAGAGCAGAGCCGGCAGCCUCUAGUCAUCAUUUGGAUAUACAGGACUAGAGCAUGAAUCUGAUGUAGAGCUACAGAAUGAAGAGCAACAGCAGCUGUUUAAAUACCGAGAAAGUGUGUAGAAUGAAAUUGGACAAGCCUAGCAUGGUGGUUUCAUGCCUUUAGUCCUAGCUACUUCGGAGGCUGAGGUGGGGGAAUUACUUGAGCUCAGCAGUUUGAGUCCAGCCUGGGCCAGAUGGUGAGACCCUGUAUCUUAAGAAAAGAAAAAAUAAGACCAGGUACAGUAUCUCAUGCCUGUAAUCCCAGCACUUUGGGAGGCCAAGUUGAGAGGAUUGCUCGAGUGUAGGAGUUCAAGACCAGACUGGGCAAUAAAGUGAGACCCAUUUCUACCAAAAAAAAAAAUCAAGAAAUUAGCUGGACAUGGUGGCACAUGCCUGUGGCCCCAGUUACAUGGCAUGGCAGGCUGAGGCAGGAAGAUCACUUGAGCCCAGGAGGUGGAGGCUGCAGUGACCCAUAUUCAUGCCACUGCACUCCAGCCUGGGCAACAGAGUGAGACCCUCUCUCAAAAACAGAUAAAGUGGACAGAAAAUAGGUUGGUAAGGACUAAUCAUUUAAGGGACAAGCCCCCAGAAGAGUGGCUACUAGAGUGGGAGGAGGAAAAGCAGAAGGAGAAAGAGUUGAAGAUAGGUGAGGCUGUGGUCCCAGUGCUGAAUUCUGCCAAGCAGUGACUUGAUUCAUGAACACUCACUGGAUGCUGACCCUGUUGCUCUUCUGAGUGCUGGGGUAGAGGGGAGGAGAGAUGGAGCACAGUUCUUGCUUUUAUGAGCUUAUGUUCUAGGAAGUUCAAGUAUUUUUUCAGGUAGUAUGAAAUAGCAGGAAGAGGAAGCAGGCUAAAGGGACACAGAGUGAUUGGGGGCUAUUUUAAGUAGAAUGAUAAGGAAGAGCCUGUCUAGAGAGCUAUUUGAACAGUGACCUGACUGAAGGGACAACAGAAAGCAUUGCUGACAUUACAGGUAGCAGGAUGACUGCCAAGACAGAAACGCAUUUCAUAUGUGUUUGAGGAACAAGCAGCAAGGUGACCAGCAUGGGGAGAGUGAAGAAUGAGGGAAACCUUGAAUGAGAAUAAAGCAGUUCCAUCUUGGAUGCUAAUCUGCCAUAUUCUGAUUAAUCCCAGUUCCAAGAAUUCAUCUACGAUUUCUAUUUUAUCUUUUUAAAAAAAUAUUUUUUAUUUUUUAUUUUUUGAGACUGAGUCUCACUCUGUCUCCCAGGUUGGACUGCAGUGGCACAAUCUCAGCUCACUGCAAACUUCACCUCCUGGGUUCAAGCAAUUCUCCUGCCUCAGCUUCCCGAGUAACUGGGAUUACAGGCGCCUGCCACCACGCCUGGCUAAUUUUUGUAUUUUUAGUAGAGACGAGGUUUUACCAUGUUGGCCAGGCUGGUCUGGAACUCCUGACCUCAGGUGAUCCGCCCACCUUUGCCUCCCAAAGAGCUGGGAUUACAGGCGUGAGCCACCGUGUCUGGCCAUACACAUCCCUACUGAAGCCCGCAUUACCCUUUCCCUAUGCUAUAUAAGCCCUGGGUCGGGGAGGUGGGGGUAAUGGCACAGGGAUCCACCAUCUUAUCUUGGUGUCAUCCCUGACUUGGCUUCUGUUCAUAAACGCCUAUUAAAUGUUUCUUUCUGAGAAACUGGA
This is a long non-coding RNA of Pan troglodytes (chimpanzee), 5866 nucleotides long. RefSeq annotates it as arf-GAP with GTPase, ANK repeat and PH domain-containing protein 5. The record is from RefSeq and is a predicted model, not a curated record. The transcript is spliced from 7 exons. NCBI's taxonomy places the organism in Eukaryota, Metazoa, Chordata, Mammalia, Primates, Hominidae.